GACGAACGCUGGCGGCGUGCCUAACACAUGCAAGUCGAACGGGGCCAGGGGCAACUCUGGUUCAGUGGCGGACGGGUGCGUAACACGUGAGGAACAUGACCUUCGGCGGGGGAGUAGCCGGCCCAACCGGCCGGGUAAGUACCGCGUACGACCACUUUGGGUACGAUCCCUCCGGUGGUGAAAGACAGCAAUGCGCCGAUGGAGUGCCUCGCGGCCUAUCAGCUAGUUGGUGAGGUAACGGCUCACCAAGGCGACGACGGGUAGCUGGUCUGAGAGGAUGGCCAGCCACAUUGGGACUGAGACACGGCCCAGACUCCUACGGGAGGCAGCAGUGGGGAAUAUUGCGCAAUGGACGAAAGUCUGACGCAGCGACGCCGCGUGUGGGAUGAC
This 390-nucleotide ribosomal RNA is filed under the name uncultured bacterium. RNAcentral describes it as "bacterial SSU rRNA". It matches the Rfam family "Bacterial small subunit ribosomal RNA", at positions 28 to 412 of the family's 1533-position model. The record is from RNAcentral.